UACGUAGGGUGCGAGCGUUAAUCGGAAUUACUGGGCGUAAAGUGUGCGCAGGCGGCCGAGCAAGUCGAGUGUGAAAGCCCCGAGCUUAACUUGGGAACUGCGCUCGAAACUACUUGGCUAGAGUGUGGCAGAGGGAGGUGGAAUUCCACGUGUAGCGGUGAAAUGCGUAGAUAUCGUAAGGAAGACCAGUGGCGAAGGCGGGUCUCUGGACAGUUCCUGACGCUGAGGCACGAAGGCCAGGGGAGCAAACGGG
Molecule: ribosomal RNA, 253 nt
Filed under: uncultured bacterium
Lineage: Bacteria
Description: partial 16S ribosomal RNA
Rfam family: Bacterial small subunit ribosomal RNA
Source: RNAcentral